UUCAAAGAUGGAGGCACCGGUGAUAGAAACAUGUCAUGUUGCUUGUUGUGCUAACAGGACACCUAACGUGGUUUCAUGGAGCCGUGGUGGAAUUAUUGCGUAUGGGACGUGUAACUCAGUGGCUCUGUACGACCCUCAGGAGAGAAGUGUCAUUGCUGUGCUGAAUGGACACACGGGCAGAGUGAAUGCAGUUCAGUGGGUUCACAGCGAAGACUGUGCUCUUGAAAGUCAUCUUGUCUCCGGAGGCUCAGACAAUCAGCUCAUCCUUUGGGAGGUUCAGAAUGAGAAGUUCAGUCAGUCAGUGGUGUGUAAAGGCCACACCGGUCCAAUUAAUGCUGUGGAUGCCAUCUAUAUGGAGGGCUCAGAAAUCCUGGUGGCCUCUUCAGCAUCUGACUCCACAGUCAGACUGUGGCUCUGCAGUGGAAACAAAAAAGCUGAGUGCCUCCAUAUCACAUCAUUUGACAGUGGUUUCAUGAUGGAUGUCUCUCUGUCACUGUUGCCAGGCAGCAGAGUUCCCAUACUGGCCUGUGGGGGUGAUGACUCUCGGGUGCAUUUGUAUAUCCAGUCCAAUGGACAGCUCCAGAAAGCUUUGUCACUACAAGGGCAUGAGGACUGGAUUCGUGGAGUGGCAUGGGCAUCUAUAGGUGGGGAGCUGUUAUUAGCCAGCUGUUCACAGGAUUGUCUCAUCAGAGUGUGGAGGCUGUGUGCCAAGUCUGGGACAGACACCCACGCAGAGGACGAUCACACCAUCAUCAAAAUGAAAGAGGACGUUUUUGAAGUGAAGGAGAGAGACAUUUCCUCAGUGUUUGCGGUGUCUCUUGAGACAGUCCUGGCUGGUCAUGAGAACUGGGUCUAUGGAGUCCACUGGCAGCCUCCUUUCUACAAAGGUGACAAGUUGCAGCAGCCUCUCAGUCUGCUCUCUGCUUCCAUGGAUAAGACAAUGAUCCUCUGGGCUCCCGAAGAGGGAUCUGGAGUCUGGGUGGAGCAGGUGCGUGUAGGGGAGGUUGGUGGCAACACUCUGGGUUUCUACGGCUGCCAGAUGAGUCCAGAUGGUUCCAUGAUUCUGGCUCAUGCUUUUCAUGGUGCUCUACAUCUCUGGUCAAAGGACCAAGAGAAAGAGGGAGAUUGGAGGCCUGGGGUUGUUAUAUCAGGUCAUUUCAGUGCAGUGCAAGACCUCAGCUGGGACCCUGAGGGUGAAUUCAUCAUCAGUGUGGGCUCAGACCAGACAACCAGACUCUUCACUCCAUGGAGGAAACAAGACGUCAAAUUGGCAACCUGGCACGAAAUCUCACGGCCUCAGAUCCAUGGAUUUGACAUGCAGUGUCUUGCCAUGGUUGGAAGGUUUCAAUAUGUCUCUGGAGCAGAUGAGAAGGUCCUCAGAGUGUUUCAAGCGCCUCGUAAUUUUGUGGAGAACUUUGCUAAUAUCUCCGGGAUGUCGAGAGAGAAGUUGCUGACCUCCAGUGACUCUGCCAACCUUCCAGAAGGAGCCAGCACACCUGCUUUAGGUCUGUCCAACAAGGCUGUAUUUCAAGGUGACCUUGUUCCAAAAACCAAUAAAAAGGAGGAGCAGUUCAGCAGUGUAUCUGAUCAAUACCAGGAGUCUUACUUCCACCCACUUAACAUGACUGAGCCCCCACCAGAGGAUCAUCUUCUCCAGAACACCCUCUGGCCUGAGGUUCAGAAACUGUACGGCCACGGCUUUGAGAUGUUCUCUCUCGCGUCUGACAGCGCCAGGACUGUGGUGGCGUCCGCGUGCAAGGCAUCUAAAGCAGAGCAUGCGGCAGUGUUGCUGUGGAGUACGACUACGUGGCGCCAGCUACAGACGCUGCCCUGUCACACCCUCACCAUCACCCAGAUGGCCUUCUCACCCGACGCACAACUCUUGUUAGCCGUUUCCCGUGAUCGCACCUGGUCCUUGUGGAGAAGGAAUGUGCCCACACCUGAAAGUCCAGGGCCUCGUGUGCCUGAAGAGAAUGUUUAUAUGAGAGACUCUCUGCACCUUGACUCAGACAAAUAACCUGAUCCUGAAUCCAAGGUCAGUCUUAAUCGGCACUGACAGAGGCCAAGCAGUGCUGCUCUCUGCUGUUUGCCUGCAUGGUGAGCUUCACAGACGUAGGCUGCCGAAUCUCCUCUGGUGGCUGCUGAGUCAUUCAAGAUGUACUGUGGUCCAGUGGAACACAGCCCUCAUCCCUAACUGGACAAUCUGGUCCUGAAGCUGGCUUGACAGAAAAGGACAAGCAUGGUCUCAGAAUCCAGACUGAGGGAGGUUAAAUGAAGUCAGAUCCGAUCAAGCAAAGUGAUCCCGUGUAUCCUCAACUCUUCUCUGUCUCCUCCCUGUGUUGUCUCCAUCCAUCCUCCUCCAUCCAUCUUUCUCUUGCGGGUCGAGCCCCCCAGACAUCUCCAUUAAGGAGACACUGUUACCUCUCACCUCUCCCCAUUUUCUUUCUUCUUCUCUCUCAUGUGCUGCUCUUAUAUCUUCUUUGUGUAUUUUUGCAGAGGCAGAAUGACAUGGCACUGUGAAUUUUGUCGUGACACUGUGGUUUUAUGUGGACACGUGUGUCUGUCUACUGUGGGUAUUACUCAUUGUCAUCAGUUUACACAGUCGCAGUACAUACAGCUAUAAAUGAAUUCAUUCAUUCAUCUUCUACUGCUUUAUCGUCCACUUGAGGGCAGCUGGAGUUAAUCCCAGCUGACAUUAGUGAAAGGCGGGGUCACACUCUGGACAGGACACCAGGCCAUCACAGGGCCAACACACAGACGUACAAUUAUUCACCCUCACAUUCACACCUACAACCUGCAUGUUUUUGGACUGUGGGAGGAAACCGGAGAACUCUGGGUAAUUAGUGAAAGUGAAAAUAGAUCCCUCUGAAGACAUGGAGUGAUGUCUAUGUGUGCCAGUGUAGAGCAGCGCUGCUGUGGGGACAUGUAGACAGACGGCUGCCAGCAGCAUACGAACAACCUCUCUAGGGAAAAACUAUCUGGGGUCUGAAAUGACUUAGGUUGGGGAAAUAAACAGCAGCAGGUCAUAAACCAAAACUGACUGAAAUGGAGGUCUGGGAUGAGGUUCUCUGUCUUGUUGGGUUUGUUUAUUUGUUGCUUGGUAGGGAGCGCCUUUGUCGCCUCAGAGCACUGAGGCAGCGCUGCAGAGCUGCUGACGUCGCGCUGCAAUCAUCAUGGCAGUGUUUUGACUGUCGGCUCAUCUCAUGAGCCGCAGUUCUCGCUGCACACACACACGGGGAAGGACUCAGCCGUACACGGCCGAAUCAUCUGGUCAUGUGACUGGAGCCCUGACAGCAAGUACUUUGUGACAUCCAGUCGAGACAAGAAG
This is an RNA transcript of Solea solea (common sole), 3328 nucleotides long. It is a transcript of the gene named elongator acetyltransferase complex subunit 2, with no coding region annotated. The transcript is spliced from 22 exons. Lineage: Eukaryota; Metazoa; Chordata; Actinopteri; Pleuronectiformes; Soleidae. The record is from RefSeq and is a predicted model, not a curated record.